Molecule: transfer RNA, 71 nt
Filed under: Phrynosoma platyrhinos (Desert horned lizard)
Lineage: Eukaryota; Metazoa; Chordata; Lepidosauria; Squamata; Phrynosomatidae
Description: tRNA-OTHER
Source: RNAcentral
GACAAUGUGGCAUAGUGGUUUGAGUGUUGGACUGUGGCUCUGGAGACCAGGGUUUGAUUCCCUGGGUGACU